This is a long non-coding RNA of Ictalurus punctatus (channel catfish), 571 nucleotides long. Lineage: Eukaryota; Metazoa; Chordata; Actinopteri; Siluriformes; Ictaluridae. The record is from Ensembl.
UUAUAGAGGGAGUAGUUAUAGAGGUUAUAGAGGGAGUAGUUAUAGAGGUUAUAGAGGGAGUAGUUAUAGAGGGUGUAGAGGGUGUAGUUAUAGAGGUUAUAGAGGGAGUAGUUAUAGAGGUUAUAGAGGAGUAGUUAUAGAGGUUAUAGAGGGAGUAGUUAUAGAGGUUAUAGAGGGAGUAGUUAUAGAGGUUAUAGAGGGAGUAGUUAUAGAGGUUAUAGAGGGAGUAGUUAUAGAGGUUAUAGAGGGAGUGGUUAUAGAGGGAGUAGUUAUAGAAGUUAUAAAGGGAGUAGUUAUAUAGGUUAUAGAGGGAGUAGUUAUAGAGGUUAUAGAGGUUAUAGAGGGAGUAGUUAUAGAGGUUAUAGAGGGAGUAGUUAUAGAGGGUGUAGUUAUAGAGGUUAUAGAGAGAGUAGUUAUAGAGGUUAUAGAGGGAGUAGUUAUAGAGGUUAUAGAGGGAGUAGUUAUAGUUAUAGAGGGAGUAGUUAUAGAGGUUAUAGAGGGAGUAGUUAUAGAGGUUAUAGAGGGAGUAGUUAUAGUAGUUAUAGAGGUUAUAGAGGGAGUAGUUAUAUAG